AUUAUGAGUGUUACUAACUGCACAACGAAUAAGCACGUGGUUUUGUUUGAGGGAGUAAUGUCUGCUGCUAAAGCAGCUCUGCAGUGAUUGCAUAUAUGAGGAAUACUGAAAUACUGGCAAGAAGUCAUGGGAAAAUAACAGUGAAUGGUGCAGGUGGGGUACAUGUGUUGAACACCAAUGGAGAGAAAAUCCUGUGGGCUCCAAAAGUACACAGCCAGUUGCAGCACUUAAAAAUGUACCAGAGGUUAACUUUUCUGAGGAAUUAUUUUUAGAAUCUAAUAACGGGAUGUUGAAAUUGAGAAGUCUGAUAUCCUGUUCAGUUAUCUAGUAAUAAAUCAAGUUUCAUGCAUCUCCCUCUCAUCUGUCUUUCAUGUGAUGAGUGUCUGCCAGCCUACCUUUUGCUCAAACCAGAACAUAUCCUGCAGACAUGGACUGGACUGCCAUGGUUCUGAUGUUCUUCAGUGUCUGACUGUAAAUGUAUCCAAGAGUAUUACCCAAAUAAUUGCAGAGAAUUGCUGUAGAUGUCCAGCAGCUUUCACUGGAAUGUACACCAAAGCAAGACUCCUGCUUAGUUUUUUUCCUGAGCAAGAGAUACAGCAAAAAGACAAAUCUCUUAGACAGUAGCAGAAGUUGUGAUUGGUGUUUAGCACAGGCUGCCCAAUCAAGAGGAACCUGUUGAUGAAGCCUUCCUGUUCCAGCUACAAGAAGAAAUGCUCAUGGGCUCCCAUCCUAGUAGGGGACUCAAUCACUUGGAUAUUUUCUGGAAAAGAGGCACAGCAAGCUGUAACUUGUCCUGGAGACUCAUGGAGUGCAUUGAGGAUAACUUCUUAAUUGAGGUAAGAGAGAGCCUGAUCAGAAGAGAAGCAUUACUGCACCAGGUGCUCACCAACACAGCUGAACUAAUUGGAGGCAGUUGAGGCUGAAGUGAUCAUGCCCUGGUGGAGUCUGUGAUCUUGAGGGAUAUGGGUCUAAAAAAAGUGAAGUCAGUAUCCUGAAUUUUAGACAACCUAAAUUCCAGAUUUUUAAAGAAUUAGUGGAUGAGAUCCCCUGGUAAUUGUCCUUAGGGAUAAAAUAACUGAUUGGGGCUGGGAGACCUUUACCAACACUUUUCAUUGAGCACAAGAACU
This 1127-nucleotide long non-coding RNA is filed under the name Numida meleagris (helmeted guineafowl). Its description in RNAcentral is "lncRNA (ENSNMEG00000012714.1)". Lineage: Eukaryota; Metazoa; Chordata; Aves; Galliformes; Numididae. The record is from RNAcentral.